UCUAAAUAAAGGAGGAAAAGACUGGAUGAGGAGCUGCAGGAAAACCAGGUUUACAGCUCAAACAAAACCUGAGCAACUGCUGAUCAGUAACAGAUUAUCUUAUUUUUCAUUAAUGUUAUUAUUAGUUUACAUGACGUGCUGUCCUGUCUUAUGUGAAAUAAACAACAAAAUAAACAAACACAUUUUCUAGGUAGCCAAAAGCUAAUUAGCAAACCCAGCUAUUGGCUGGAUUUUCUAUAAGUGAAGAUAAAGCUAAUCAGAGCCCAAACAUGCAUGAUCGUGAUGAUCAGCAACAUGGUUGAAUAAACACUUACACGUGUUUUUUAAUACAAUCAGGAUGGUGUUCAUUUAAAAAAUUGCUUAAAUACAUGUAGAUAUUAGUUAACAGCAGCGUAAUUCAGCAGCAAGCUAGCUAAAACAACAUUGACAUUUCACGACAUUACGGCAAAAUCUAAAUCCUGUACCGUCUUAAUCCGCCUAAACGAGCUGUAAUGCUUUUAAUUGUUUUAAGUUUUUUUUAAUUACAAAUAAAAAUGAUAAAAGAUAGUUCCUUCUCAUCUCUCAGAUCUCGGAGCGGAGCAAUGGCGGAUCGCUCGGAUAGGCUGUGAGCAUCCCGCUCUCUGAUUCGUCGGCAAAAAUGUCAGUGUAGAAAAAAUAAAAAAAAUACGGCCAUUUGAUUGGUCAAUCUAAUGGUACAAAUAGAACAACAACUGCCCCUCACGUGAGAGGCACGGUGCGGACAUUGGUGCGGCCGUUAGCUUUUCCUUCUGCGACGAGGAGCUGACGCAGCAACAUCAAACUUUUGUCCUGUCUGCUCAUUUGACUGUUUUAACAGGCUUCCAGAACAAGUCGGAGACCUGUCAUCUGCAGAAAGACUCAAGACGACUCUGCAGUCGUCGGGUUUAUGAGGGAUGGUCAAGAGUACAGAGAGCUGGCGGACCACUUUGUGGCGUGGUGUGGGGACACUCACAUAAUCUUGAAUGUGAACAAAACAAAUGAGAUGAUUUAGAAAGAAACGGGAAGAGCUCAACAUGCAUUAUUGGGGAGUAGGGGGAGGUGGUGGAAGAUUACAGAUACCUCGGUGUUCAUCUGGACAACAGACUGGACUGGAGACACAAGCGUGAAGCCUACAAGAAGGGACAGAGUAGACUGUAUAUCUUGAAUAAUAAUUUAGAUCCUUCAAGGUCUGCAGCAAGAGGCUGCAGAUCUUUUACAGGUCUGUUGAGAUCUCUUGGGCCACCAGCUGUUGGGGCAGCAGCAUCAGAGCCUGCAGGGACCUAAAAAGGCUCAACAACCUGGCAACAAAGGCUGGUUCUGUUCUGGAGACGACUGAGGACCAUGCACUGGAGAUGAUGGUGCAAAGAAGGACUUUUCAUAUAAUCAAUAACAUUAUAGACAACACUGAGCAUCUUCUUCAGAGCUGCUGUAACGCAGCAGAUCCUUCCUGCCCACAGCCACAACCACUCAGAUUUCCAACUGAGCUCAUUAUUAUUACUUGUAUUUAUUUUAAUGACUGCUUUGAAGAAUUAGUUAAGACAACACUUAACUUCCUUCUGAGAUUAAUAAAGUCAUUUUGGACUUUAAACAGAGACUGUGGAGUCGACAAAGAAACCCAAUAAUGAACCGGUGACACUGCUGAACUCAAAUGUGUUUGUGAUGUUCUCUAACGUGUAAUAAAUGUGGCUUGUAUAAAAUCCACUCCACCGCCUGCUGCUCAGCAGAGUUUCUCACGUGUGACGAGGUUUUCGCUCCACGUUUGCUGGCUGUUUACCUGUGAACCACACCUGGUUUGUUGUUGGGAUUUUUGUCCUGUCACGAUUUCUAACCUUUGUCCUCAGUGGUUUAUGAAUUUCCUCACCCAAGCUCCUGUUUUCCUGUAAACUCCUCCAAAGAUGUGCUAUUUACACCUGAUAAGGACGGGAGAUUGGAUGCGUCGAGGAGCUGAGGGACCAAGCUCUUUUCUUCUGUAAAUAAAUGAUCUGACAAGAAUACUAACAAUCUAAAUGUGUUAAACAACCUGCUGUACACAUGGACAUGUAAAGAAAAGAACUUCACAAUAAAAGCUCACUGCAAGAA
Nothobranchius furzeri (turquoise killifish) is the source of this 2076-nucleotide long non-coding RNA. RefSeq lists it as uncharacterized. Lineage: Eukaryota; Metazoa; Chordata; Actinopteri; Cyprinodontiformes; Nothobranchiidae. The record is from RefSeq and is a predicted model, not a curated record.